RNAcentral lists this ribosomal RNA (565 nucleotides) under Candidatus Neomicrothrix parvicella. RNAcentral's name for it is "bacterial SSU rRNA". It matches the Rfam family "Bacterial small subunit ribosomal RNA", at positions 337 to 916 of the family's 1533-position model. The record is from RNAcentral. Lineage: Bacteria; Bacillati; Actinomycetota; Acidimicrobiia; Acidimicrobiales; Microthrixaceae.
UCCUACGGGAGGCAGCAGUAGGGAAUCUUGCGCAAUGGGCGAAAGCCUGACGCAGCAAUGCCGCGUGCGGGACGAAGGCCCUAGGGUCGUAAACCGCUUUCAGUAGGGACGAAAAUGACGGUACCUGCAGAAGAAGCUCCGGCCAACUACGUGCCAGCAGCCGCGGUGAUACGUAGGGAGCAAGCGUUGUCCGGAAUUACUGGGCGUAAGGGCUUCGUAGGUGGUUGAGUAAGUCAGAUGUGAAAUCUCAGGGCCCAACCCUGAGCCUGCAUUUGAUACUGCUCUGACUAGAGUCCGGUAGGGGAGUGCGGAACUCCUGGUGUAGCGGUGAAAUGCGCAGAUAACAGGAAGAACACCGACAGCGAAGGCAGCACUCUGGGCCGGUACUGACACUGAGGAGCGAAAGCAUGGGUAGCAAACAGGAUUAGAUACCCUGGUAGUCCAUGCCGUAAACGUUGGGCACUAGGUGUGGGGAGAACUCAACUCUCUCCGCGCCGUAGCUAACGCAUUAAGUGCCCCGCCUGGGGAGUACGGCCGCAAGGCUAAAACUCAAAGGAAUUGACGG